Molecule: transfer RNA, 76 nt
Filed under: Camelus bactrianus (Bactrian camel)
Lineage: Eukaryota; Metazoa; Chordata; Mammalia; Artiodactyla; Camelidae
Also listed under: 1 other name
Rfam family: tRNA
About the family: Transfer RNA (tRNA) molecules are approximately 80 nucleotides in length.
Source: Rfam by way of RNAcentral
GAGGGUAUAGCUCAGUGGUAGAGUGCCUGCCUAGCACAUGUAUAUGAGAUCCUGGGUUCAAUCCCCAGUACCUCUA